UCGGUAAAAUGUGUUUAUUUUUUAUCACUUUAAGGAAAAUUGAAUAGAGUAAAGUAUAUUAUGGAAUUAAGUGUAGUAUAGUAUAAUAGUAGUAUAGUAUGGAAUUAAGCUUAAGUAUAGUAUGGAAUUAAGUGGUCAAUCCGCCUAAUCUGAUCUGGAUCUAGGUAAAAAGUCUGGAAAUUAAAUGUGCAAUUUGAAAAAAAUAGAUUUUGAACAAAAGAAAUCUUUUAAAUAAACAAAGAGUUCAAAAUAUUAGUGGUAAGAACUGUCAAAAACUUGUGAUAGCUAUGAUGAAGAGAGUUUCAGAAAAAAUUUAUAUUCCAACUUGCUGAAAUGAAAAAAAUUUUAGUGGUUUGAACUGCACUGUUCUCUAAUAAUCCAG
Non-coding RNA from Hydra vulgaris (swiftwater hydra), 382 nucleotides. NCBI's taxonomy places the organism in Eukaryota, Metazoa, Cnidaria, Hydrozoa, Anthoathecata, Hydridae. The record is from RefSeq and is a predicted model, not a curated record.